AAUACAUGCAAGUCGAGGGGUAUAGGUUUUCGGAUCUAGAGACCGGCGCACGGGUGCGUAACGCGUAUGCAAUCUACCUUUUGCAGAGGGAUAGCCCAGAGAAAUUUGGAUUAAUACCUCAUAGUAUAUAGAGUUGGCAUCAACAUUAUAUUAAAGUCACAACGGCAAAAGAUGAGCAUGCGUCCCAUUAGCUUGUUGGUAAGGUAACGGCUUACCAAGGCUACGAUGGGUAGGGGUCCUGAGAGGGAGAUCCCCCACACUGGUACUGAGACACGGACCAGACUCCUACGGGAGGCAGCAGUGAGGAAUAUUGGACAAUGGGCGCAAGCCUGAUCCAGCCAUGCCGCGUGCAGGAUGAAGCAUCUAUGGUGUGUAAACUGCUUUUAUACGAGAAGAAACAACAUUACGUGUAAUGUCUUGACGGUAUCGUAAGAAUAAGGACCGGCUAACUCCGUGCCAGCAGCCGCGGUAAUACGGAGGGUCCAAGCGUUAUCCGGAAUCAUUGGGUUUAAAGGGUCCGUAGGCGGUCUUAUAAGUCAGUGGUGAAAUCUCCCCGCUCGACGGGGAAACGGCCAUUGAUACUGUAAGACUUGAAUUAUUAGGAAGUAACUAGAAUAUGUAGUGUAGCGGUGAAAUGCUUAGAGAUUACAUGGAAUACCAAUUGCGA
Molecule: ribosomal RNA, 667 nt
Filed under: uncultured bacterium BA6
Lineage: Bacteria; Pseudomonadati; Bacteroidota
Description: bacterial SSU rRNA
Rfam family: Bacterial small subunit ribosomal RNA
Source: RNAcentral